RNAcentral lists this ribosomal RNA (253 nucleotides) under uncultured bacterium. RNAcentral's name for it is "partial 16S ribosomal RNA". It matches the Rfam family "Bacterial small subunit ribosomal RNA", at positions 524 to 776 of the family's 1533-position model. The record is from RNAcentral.
UACGGAAGGGGCAAGCGUUGUUCGGAAUCAUUGGGCGUAAAGGGCGCGUAGGUGGUUCUGUAUGUCUACCGUGAAAGCGUACGGCUCAACCGUAUUUUGUCGGUGGAAACUGCAGGACUUGAGGCUGGGAGGGGCUGGUGGAAUUCCCUGUGUAGCGGUGAAAUGCGUAGAGAUGGGGGAGAACACUCGUGGCGAAGGCGGCCAACUGGCCCAGUCCUGACGCUGAGGUGCGAAAGCGUGGGGAGCAAACAGG